This 525-nucleotide long non-coding RNA is filed under the name Prunus persica (peach). RNAcentral's name for it is "long non-coding RNA (PPER_LNC004000)". The record is from RNAcentral. Lineage: Eukaryota; Viridiplantae; Streptophyta; Magnoliopsida; Rosales; Rosaceae.
GAUGAGAAAAAAGUGGUGGACGUGCCUCAACUUCAUUUGGGCUUGAUAUUUAUUUAGGUCAAGUCCUUACAAUAACCAAACAACGGCAGAAAUUCAAGAUUAAGACUUUGAAGCGCAAGCGCAACAGUCAAACCCCACUUUCUGAAAAGAAAAUCAUAUAAAGCUUAGCAGCACUCGGAGCAUUGGUUCUUUUGGAUAGGAAUGGAGAGGAAGGAUUAGGCUACAGUAUUAUUCUAGCUAUUUCAAACCCCACAAGAAAAACAAAAGAAAACUGAAAGUUAUAUAUAUAUAAGAAAAAGAAAAAGAGAAAGAAAACAAGAUUGGACCAUCUAACUUGGGCGUUCAAAACUUCAUUGAUUAAGAAAAGGCGAUGCAUGGAAUUUACAAGACAGCAGCCCAACAGAUAAGUCACAUGACCGCAGCUUAGCCAGAAACCUAAAAGCCCAUAAGUGAGCAUGUAUAUGUGGUUAGGCCCUGCGCAUAUAUAGCCUAGCCAAUCCUUUGACUCAAGUCCAAUGACUUAAG